Molecule: long non-coding RNA, 2276 nt
Filed under: Homo sapiens (human)
Lineage: Eukaryota; Metazoa; Chordata; Mammalia; Primates; Hominidae
Description: non-protein coding lnc-CNN1-2:1
Source: RNAcentral
GGAGACAGAGUCUCACUCUGUUCCCCAGGCUGGAGUGCAAUGGCGCAUCUCGGCUCACUGCAACCUCCGCCUCCCCAGUUCAAGUUGGUUCUCAUGCCUCAGCCUCCCGAGUAGCUGGGACUACAGGUGUGUGCCACCACACCCAGCUAAUUUUUUGUAUUUUAGUAGAGAUGGGGUUUCAUCAUGUUGCUCAGGGUGGUCUCGAACUCCUGAGUUCAAGCAAUCCACCCAUCUUGGCCUCCCAAAGUGCUAGGAUCACAAGGUCAGUUCAAGACCAGCCUGGCCGAGAUGGUGAAAGCCCGUCUGUACUAAAAAUACAAAAAUUAGCCAGGUGUGGUGGCAGGCACCUGUAAUCCCAGCUAUUCGGGAGCCUGAGGCAGGAGAAUCACUUGAACCUGGGAGGUGGAGGUUGCAAUGAGCCAAGAUUGUGCCACUGCACCCCAGUCUGGGCGACAGAGCGAGAUUCCAUCGCUAAAUAAAUAAAUAAAUCAACUAAAAUUAGUGAUUUCUGCCUAAAAUCGCUAACGGCAUAUCACACUUAAAAUCAGAGACUGGGCACACUGGCUCAUGCCUGUAAUCCCAACACUUUGGGAGACCAAGGUAGGAGGAUCACUUGAGCCCAGGGAUUCAAGACCAGCCUGGGCAACAUAGAGAGACCCCAUCUCUACAAAAAAAUUAAGAAUUAUCCAGGCAUGGUGGUGAAUGCCUGUCAUCUCAGGUACUCAGGAGACUGAGGCUGGAGGAUCCUUUAAGGUCAGUAGUUAGAGGUUGCAGUGAACCAUGACUGCACUUGUGAAUAGCCACUGCACUCUAGCCUGGGCAACAUACUGAGAUCCUGUCUCUAAAAAUAAAUAAAUAGCCAGGGAGCAGUGGCUCAUGCCUAUAAUCCUAGUGCUUUGGAAGUCCAAGUGGGGAGGAUCGCUUGAGCCCAGGAGUUCAAGACCAGCCUGGACAACAUAGCAGGACACGAUCUUUACAAAAAUUAUUUUAAAAAAUUAGCUGGACCUGGUGGUGUGCACCUGUAGUUCCAGCUACUGGGAAAGCUGAGGCAGGAGAAUCACUUGAGCCAUGGAGUUUGAGGCUGCAGUGAGCUAUGGAGUGCACUGCACCACUGCACUCCAGGCUUGACGAACAAGUGAGAUCCUGUCUCUAAAAAAUAAAAAUAAAUAAAUAAAAUCAGAUAGGGUCUACCCCUCUAAACUCAACUCCUACCACUGGCAGCUUCAGCUACACUGUUUCUGAAAGAAACUAAGUUUAUCCCAUCUCAGAACCUUUGUACUUGCUUUUCUCUCUGUCUAGAGCUUUCUUCCUCCAGAUCUGCCCACAGCUGUCUCUGGUCAUUUCAAUGAAAGGUCUUCUUUGACCAUCUCCCAUUCCCCACAUUCUAAAAGCCCUCAUCACCCUAUUAAUUUUUGUUUCGGAGACAGGGUCCUGCUCUGUUGCCCAGGCUGGGGUGCAGUGGCACAAUCACGGCUCACUACAGCCUCAACCUCCUGGGCUCAAGCAAUCCUCCCACCUCAGCUUCCCGAGUAGCUAGGACUACAGGCGUGCACCACUACGCCCAGAUAAUUUUUUGUAGAGAACAGGGUCUUGCUAUGUUGCCAAGGCUGGUCUCGAAACUCCUGGGCUCAAGCGAAAUUCCCGACACCAUUAACGCAUUUUUAGUAACUUAUCAGUAUCUGAAAUCACCUGUUUCGUUUAUUUCUAAUUUGUUCAAAGUCUGGUUCCCCCAGGAGAUGAGAGAUUUUUAUCUAUCUUCCUCAUUGCUGUGUCUCCAGCACCAAGGACAGUGCCUGGUAUAUGACAGAUGCCUAACGAGUAACAACUGAACGGAAACAAGCCUCAAUUUCAAAAAAACACCUAUAAAUCUGAACCCCGAGGUAUGGUGUACGUACAACAGCUUUGAAACCGGCUGCCAGGAUUCUGGGUCUCUUGGGGGAAAAAGGCAGACGCGGAUUCCAAAUCCUGCCCGGUUGCCGACUUGCGGCGUGACCUCUCGCGAGGUCAUCUGCAAAAUGGGAGACUGGGGGCGUGAGGCGGCUGGCACAAGACAGGCGGCCUUUCCCAGCGCGUCCCCGCCCCCACUACGAAAGGUCAUGGCGCCCUGGCCCUGCAGCUGGGUCCCUCCAGGGCUGCCCUCUCGCGCUGCCGGGUCCUGAAGGGCCCGCCUGCAGCCCAGCAGUUCGCGUUCGCCUACCCGCGCGCGACCUACCUACUCACGCGGCCAGCCGCGGACUCCAGGCCAGCUCUGUCUUGUUGCUGGGCGCUGCCAUAUU